UAGAGGUGCGUGGAAAGAUUUAUUUUGAAGAAUUGCUUCAUGCAAUUUUGGAGGUUAAGAGGUCCCAGGAUCUGCUGUCAGGGAAGCUGGUGGUGGAGUGCCAGUCCAAAGCUCAGGCCUGAAACCAGGGGAGCCAAUGAUGAGACUCUCAGUCCGUGUUUGAAGGCCGGAGAACAAGAGGGUCGGUGUCCAAGGGCAGGAGAACAUGGAAGUCCCAGCCCAAGCAGAGAGCAAAUUCCUCCUUCCUCCACCUUUUUGCUCUGUUCAGGCCCUCUAUGGAUUGGAAGCAGCCCAUUCCCACAGGUGAGGGCCGUCUUUACUCAGUCCACUGAGUCAAAUGCCAUUCUCUUCCGGAAACGCCCUCCCAGAAACACCCGGAAGUAAUGUCUUACCAGCUGUCUGGGCAUCCCUUAGCAUAAAGUUGAACGUAAAAUUAGCCAUCACAGCAUCCUUACAGGUAGAAGCCAGAGGUAGCUAGCUCUCUUUCAGCCAUGUGAAGUUACAGUGAGACGUCUGCCAUAGGCAGCCCCGAGGAGGGCCCUCACUGCAAGCUAAAGGCACCUGGCUGCAAACACAAAGGGCAUUGUGACCUAAACUGCACAUCACCUACUGGGUGUAGUCAAGCUUCCAAACCAUAACGGUGGGCAUGCACAGCAGCAUCUGUCGUCUACUAAAAAGCUGUGUGUGGGAUCAGGCUCAAGCAGGCAUGCAGGGCACAGAGGAGAGAAAGCACAGACCAGAUUUGGAAUGGGUCUGCAACUCUCCCCAAGGCCCACCUGGCUGUUGACUGUUCUCAGUGCCCAAAGCAACAGAGGUAAAGACCAACACUAAUCUGUUAUGGCAUCAUGCUAUGGCAGUGCUACAAAGGACACGCUCCAUCAUGGAGGGCACUGAGCUUUGUCCUCACAGGGGUAGAUACAAACUGUGGUCUCUGAUUUGGCCUCCUGGUACUCAAUGCUUCUGUCAACUCUGCCAUUCAGGAACUUUGAAAAUGUCUCUUCUUUGGCUGUGAUAUGCUACGAAGUACUGUUGCCUAUGGGGUCAUACAUUUUAAAGCAAAGGAAGGGAGGCAAUGAGCUCACACCCGUGGAGCUCACUGAUCUUCCCAGGUGCCCCACUACACAGAGAAGUCACUGAGUGAGUUCAGCAGUCUUUCCUCUUUGUGCUUGGAUGCCUCUGGCUGGACUGGAGGCCUGAGGACAGGGCCUGGAUGUCACUGACCCGAGGUUUCCAGACGUGGACAGCACAAGAGCUAGCUCAGGAUGGGUGCCCGGGAUUUAUUUGCAAGGAAAAGAAAUACAUGGUGUCACACUACCCUCCUCAUUACCCGGAUGAGGACCUUGAGGCCCAGCGAGGACAGUGGAAAUUGGCUCAGGCUGAGAAGGAGCCCUCCGUCUCUCUCACUCCCAAUGGAGGAGCUGCCUUCCUCCAGGAGAUUGGGAGAGGUCCCUGCAGGUGUUUGAGCAAAAACAAGACAAAG
This 1480-nucleotide long non-coding RNA is filed under the name Equus asinus (donkey). RNAcentral describes it as "lncRNA (ENSEASG00005029506.1)". Lineage: Eukaryota; Metazoa; Chordata; Mammalia; Perissodactyla; Equidae. The record is from RNAcentral.